UACAGAGGGUGCGAGCGUUAAUCGGAAUUACUGGGCGUAAAGCGCGCGUAGGUGGCUUUGCAAGUCGGGUGUGAAAUCCCCAGGCUUAACCUGGGAACUGCAUUCGAGACUGCAUUGCUAGAGUAUGGGAGAGGGAAGUGGAAUUUCCGGUGUAGCGGUGAAAUGCGUAGAUAUCUGGAGGAACACCGGUGGCGAAGGCGGCAUCCUGGACCGGCAUUGACGCUGAGGCGCGAAAGCCAGGGGAGCAAACGGG
RNAcentral lists this ribosomal RNA (253 nucleotides) under uncultured bacterium. Its description in RNAcentral is "partial 16S ribosomal RNA". It matches the Rfam family "Bacterial small subunit ribosomal RNA", at positions 524 to 776 of the family's 1533-position model. The record is from RNAcentral.